Long non-coding RNA from Acinonyx jubatus (cheetah), 856 nucleotides. RefSeq lists it as uncharacterized. The transcript has 3 exons. NCBI's taxonomy places the organism in Eukaryota, Metazoa, Chordata, Mammalia, Carnivora, Felidae. The record is from RefSeq and is a predicted model, not a curated record.
ACAAAAGGGCUGUCACCCCCCAGGCUAACCACCCCCCCCCACCCCCCCCGCCCAGCACAGUGUGUGAGGGUGGAGUGGGUCACCUUCAUGUUGGUCACACGAUGUUCCAUGCCUAGCAGUCCAGGACGGCAAUGGUGAAUCCUAAGACAGCCUGUCACAGCCAGGCCCUUUCCUUGCUCAUGACAUGGGCAAUUCCCUAACCAAGGCCAAUACCCCUUUGGGACGCGUUCUGAAAAACUGGGAUGACUUUGAUCCACAAACCCUGAAGAAGAAGCAACUCAUUUUCUUUUUGCCCCGAGGCUUGGCCCCAAGGCAAAUUGGAGGAGGAAACCUGGCCGCCCGAGGGAUAUACCGAUUAUAAUGCCACCCUACGAUUGGACUUGAUCUGCAAAUGUGAGGGGAAAUGGGGAGAAGUCCCUAUGUUCAGUGUUUUGGGGGCCUUAAGAGACAAUCGAGACAUAGGACAAGAGCCUGGUGGCCUUCCUGGAAAGGCCUCCCCGCUCUGAAGCUGAGAAGAUUCUAAAGGACAAAUCUGUCCAAAAGACAAAAUUGGCCCCUGAUAUUCAAAGGAAGCUACAAAAAUUGGCUAUUGGUCCGGAAGGGACCCUAGAGGAGCUUUUACAAGCUGCCAAUUGGAUAUAUGACUAUCGAGAUUAAAAGGAGAAUCAGGAACAGGAAAGAAGGCUUAAAAAAAAAUCUGGGGCACCUGGGUGGCUCAGUUGGUUGAGUGUCCGACUUCAGCUCAGGUCAUGAUCUCGCGGUUCAUGGGUUCGGGCCCUGUGUUGGGCUUUGUGCUGACAGCUCAGAGCCUGGAGCCUGCUUCAGAUUCUGUCCCCCUUUCCCUCUCCCCUACUCA